UACGUAGGGUGCGAGCGUUAAUCGGAAUUACUGGGCGUAAAGCGUGCGCAGGCGGUUUUGUAAGCCAGAUGUGAAAUCCCCUGGCUUAACCUGGGAAUGGCAUUUGGGACUGCAAGGCUUGAGUUUGGCAGAGGAGACUGGAAUUCCUGGUGUAGCAGUGAAAUGCGUAGAUAUCAGGAGGAAUACCGAUGGCGAAGGCAGGUCUCUGGGCUGAAACUGACGCUCAUGCACGAAAGCGUGGGGAGCAAACAGG
RNAcentral lists this ribosomal RNA (253 nucleotides) under uncultured bacterium. RNAcentral's name for it is "partial 16S ribosomal RNA". It matches the Rfam family "Bacterial small subunit ribosomal RNA", at positions 524 to 776 of the family's 1533-position model. The record is from RNAcentral.